RNAcentral lists this ribosomal RNA (387 nucleotides) under uncultured bacterium. RNAcentral's name for it is "bacterial SSU rRNA". It matches the Rfam family "Bacterial small subunit ribosomal RNA", at positions 28 to 417 of the family's 1533-position model. The record is from RNAcentral.
GACGAACGCUGGCGGCGUGCUUAACACAUGCAAGUCGAGCGAGGCCCUUCUUCGGGAGGUGCCCUAGCGGCGAACGGGUGAGUAACACGUGGGCAACCUGCCCUCAGCUCUGGGAUAACUCCAAGAAAUUGGUGCUAAUACCGGAUGUGACCGCUGACCGCAUGGUCUGGUGGUGGAAAGAUUCAUCGGCUGAGGAUGGGCCCGCGGCCUAUCAGCUUGUUGGUGGGGAAUGGCCUACCAAGGCGACGACGGGUAGCCGGCCUGAGAGGGUGACCGGCCACACUGGGACUGAGACACGGCCCAGACUCCUACGGGAGGCAGCAGUGGGGAAUAUUGCGCAAUGGGCGAAAGCCUGACGCAGCGACGCCGCGUGAGGGAUGACGGCCU